RNAcentral lists this long non-coding RNA (1252 nucleotides) under Piliocolobus tephrosceles (Ugandan red Colobus). Its description in RNAcentral is "lncRNA (ENSPTEG00000011515.1)". The record is from RNAcentral. Lineage: Eukaryota; Metazoa; Chordata; Mammalia; Primates; Cercopithecidae.
UAAAUCUAAAAUAGAAUUAAGCGAAACAUUAAAUGAAAAAAUAACAGAAAAACUGAGAGAGGAAAUAAAAGGCCCAACUAAUAGAGUUAAAAACAAAGAUAAUAGUAAUAGUAGUAAUACAAGCAAUGAUGCUAAUAAUAAUGAAUUAUUGGGCUCAAAUUUUGUAAGUGAUAAAAUUAAGGCUUAUUUUUUGAAUAAAAAAUUAAUGCUUACACAAAAUAGUAAUAAUAGACGCAAGCAAAAAGAAAAAGAAAUUGUAGUAAGCGAAGAAGAAGUGGGAGAGAUGUAUGAAGUGAAUAUGCAUGACAAAAAUAAAAAGCACAAUGUCAAAAGGUAUGACAUAUGUGAUAAACAUGAUAAAAUAUCAGAGCACUCGAAAUACCAUCAAGCGAGUAAAAAAAAUAGAGGCGAUUCUUUAUUAACUACACAAGAAAAGGAAAAUAAACAAACUAGCAGAAUGAAUAAUAACUUAAAAUAUCAUGACUAUUUAUUAGCAAAAAAGUAUUUAAAAGGAGGAGACCUAGUUGCAACGGAAUUGAUAAGCAGUUAUACUGAUGGUGGUAGUAGCCACUGCAGUAGCAGUCGCAUUAGAAGUAGAAGUAGAAGUAAAAGUAGCAAUCGCAGUAAUCGCAGUCGUAGUAAUUGUAGUAGAAGUAGCAGCUACAAUAGAAGUAGUUACUACGUCAGUGACAACAUGAAGUACGCAUCUAAUUACAGUCACAAGAUUAUGGCCAUACACAAUGAUAACAGUUUUACUAAUAAUAGCGAUAGUGGUAAAAAAGAAGUAACGUUAUUCGAUUCGUUUCAAGAUUUAUGUCAUAAUGAUAACAAAAAAAUAAAACUAAUAAAUUAUAAUAAAAUUUUAAACAAGAGUUUAUAUAAUACUGUUAAUGAUAUUAACGAUCAGCAUAUAAAAAAAAGAAAAAGCGACAAAAGUUAUAAACGUAGCAAAAAGGCUGUUACAAAAAAAAGUACAAGUCCUGUGCAUACUGACUUGUCAGAAAACAACGUAAAACAAAUUAUCAAAAAUAUAAAAAAGAGAUUAGGUUUUUGUUCAGACAGGGGGAGUGGUACUUGUAGUGAUAGUAAUAGUACAAAAGAGGCAAAAGAGGCAAAAAAGGCAAAAAAGGCAAAAGAGGCAAAAGAGGCAAAAGAGGCAAAAGAGGCAAAAGAGGCAAAAGAGGCAAAAGAGGCAAAAGAGGCAAAAGAGGCAAAAGAGGCAAAAGAGGCAAAAGAGGCAAAAGAGGCAAAA